UUAAGUAUUUAUAAGAGUCGUUAGGUAUUUGUGGUAUAUAGCUUAUUCUAGACAUAUAAUUUUUACCAAAAGCUUUUUCUAAUAUUAUUUUUCUUAUAUCUGCUACUUUUAUAUUUUUAAGUGCAUACAAAAUAAGUAUCUUGAAUUUAUCUACCAUCACAUCAGAUAUAUUAUCAUUCAUUUUUCAUAAAUUUGCUUUUUUCAAAAUAUUCCCUUCAAUCACGUACACAACAAAAUAUGGUCAUAUUGGCUUACUAUAUACUAGAUUAUUCUUAAAUAAUAUGUUCUUCCGUCACUAUUAACAUGGUAAUCUGGAUACUUUUUCCCUUAAACAGCGCCUCUACUCUGGUUACUC
This 355-nucleotide long non-coding RNA is filed under the name Capsicum annuum. RNAcentral's name for it is "long non-coding RNA (CANN_LNC020107)". The record is from RNAcentral. Lineage: Eukaryota; Viridiplantae; Streptophyta; Magnoliopsida; Solanales; Solanaceae.